RNAcentral lists this non-coding RNA (21 nucleotides) under Xenopus tropicalis (tropical clawed frog). Lineage: Eukaryota; Metazoa; Chordata; Amphibia; Anura; Pipidae. The record is from RNAcentral. RNAcentral also lists the same sequence under 1 other name.
UUCCGUAGGUGAACCUGCGGA